RNAcentral lists this transfer RNA (65 nucleotides) under bovine gut metagenome. It matches the Rfam family "tRNA", at positions 6 to 65 of the family's 71-position model. From Rfam's summary of the family: Transfer RNA (tRNA) molecules are approximately 80 nucleotides in length. The record is from RNAcentral.
UGGUAGCUCAGCUGGAUAGAGCAACAGCCUUCUAAGCUGUGGGUCGCGGGUUCGAAUCCCGCCCG